RNAcentral lists this ribosomal RNA (379 nucleotides) under Iberus guiraoanus. Its description in RNAcentral is "partial 16S ribosomal RNA". It matches the Rfam family "Bacterial large subunit ribosomal RNA", at positions 1855 to 2596 of the family's 2925-position model. The record is from RNAcentral. Lineage: Eukaryota; Metazoa; Mollusca; Gastropoda; Stylommatophora; Helicidae.
AUUUCUGCCCAAUGAUAAAUUAAAUGGCCGCAGUACUCUGACUGUGCAAAGGUAGCAUAAUCAAUUGGCUCCUAAUUAGAGUCUGGUAUAAAUGAACAUAUGGAAUGCAGCUGUCUUUUAUACAUUAUUAUAAAAUUGGGAGUAAGUGCAAAUCCUUACAAAAGUAAAAAGGACGAGAAGACCCUAGAAGCUUAACUUAAUAUUUUGUUGGGGCGACAGAAUUACAAUAUAACUAAUUUUAAAGUACACGACGCGUACUGAUAGAAUAAGCUACUCUAGGGAUAACAGCAUAAUGCUUCCGUUUGUGACCUCGAUGUUGGACUAGGUAUAAUAUUCCCUAGAAGGGAGUAUGAUUAGCUCUGUUCGAGCUAUGCAACCU